Cyprinus carpio (common carp) is the source of this 554-nucleotide long non-coding RNA. RefSeq lists it as uncharacterized. The record is from RefSeq and is a predicted model, not a curated record. NCBI's taxonomy places the organism in Eukaryota, Metazoa, Chordata, Actinopteri, Cypriniformes, Cyprinidae. The transcript is spliced from 5 exons.
UGUUGAUAAAGAUGUUUUUUUGUUUUUUCAGGACCCAACCCAAUGUUCCCAUGAUACCUCAAAUUCCAAAUAUCUUCCCCUUCGAUUUUAUGCCACAGACAGUUCCUCAACAGCCACCUGUGAACCCACCAUUCCAGGAUGGUCCUCCACAAGCCCAGGAGCCUCAGCAGCAAACUGAGCCGGAGCAGAAGGCUCAGACAGUACAGGUGUCUACCAAGCCAUGAAGAUACUGCUUAGGGACAUCUUUGAAGCUGAGUGGGAAAAGAUGGCAAACAGCAGUGUGUUAAACUUUUUUGUCUAAUGCUUUUUAGAAUUAGUACUUUUUCUGGAAUAAUAAUUUAAAAUGAGCUGAUUUUUGAACAUGAAGAAGAUGAUUUACCCUUAUGUAAAACAAUUUUUUUUUAAGUUCUAUAUGUGCAUGGUAUACAGUUUGAAAUGUGCUGUUUUGGCUUCAUUCUGAUGUGAGAAAAUUAUACCUUAACUGAAUAUCAAACAAAUGUCAAUUCUGAAUAUUUUAUCAUGUAGGCCUUUUGUGAGUAGUGUUUCAGUAAUAA